GACGAACGCUGGCGGCGUGCUUAACACAUGCAAGUCGAACGGAAAGGCCCUGCUUGCAGGGUACUCGAGUGGCGAACGGGUGAGUAACACGUGGGUGAUCUGCCCUGCACUUCGGGAUAAGCUUGGGAAACUGGGUCUAAUACCGGAUAGGAACCAUCUUUAGUGUGGUGGUUGGAAAGUUUUUUCGGUGUAGGAUGAGCUCGCGGCCUAUCAGCUUGUUGGUGGGGUAAUGGCCUACCAAGGCGGCGACGGGUAGCCGGCCUGAGAGGGUGUACGGCCACAUUGGGACUGAGAUACGGCCCAGACUCCUACGGGAGGCAGCAGUGGGGAAUAUUGCACAAUGGGCGGAAGCCUGAUGCAGCGACGCCGCGUGGGGGAUGAAGGCCUUCGGGUUGUAAACUCCUUUCGCUAGGGACGAAGCUUUGUUGUGACGGUACCUAGAUAAGAAGCACCGGCUAACUACG
This 464-nucleotide ribosomal RNA is filed under the name uncultured bacterium. RNAcentral's name for it is "partial 16S ribosomal RNA". It matches the Rfam family "Bacterial small subunit ribosomal RNA", at positions 28 to 505 of the family's 1533-position model. The record is from RNAcentral.